AAAAAAAAUGAAUGUUCUUCUCUGCCUCAUUGACGAGUGGCCCAUUUCGAACAGACGGUCGCCAGUCUUAGCCAGACAGCACGCGAAAGUAACGCCGACUUCCCAUAAACCAGAUCCAUUUCACCAGCCGCCCGCAGACAUAUUAACAAGUCGUCCGUGAUGACGGGUGGGAAAGGCGCAGGGACGUCUCAGCCCCCUACUCCGCCAAAGCACUGCGAGGGCGAGGAACUCGACUCCGCUGCCUGGACCCCGAGUCCCCAGGGAUCCCAGCGCACCCUCCCGCCGCCCCGGGGAUGCAUGAUGCCGGGGGGGGGGGUGGAAUGGAUGAGUACACCCGCCACCUCCGCCUCGGCCCUACGGGAGUCGCCCCGAGUGGGUGUCCCUCUCUCCGAGGGGCAGGUUCUGAGGGUGGGAGCAUCCCCCGAUGCCCGCGGAGCCGCGGUACGACUGGGCGGGGGACGGGCGCGGCGGCAGACCUGCGGUGCGUGGCUCGGGGCUGCAGCAGCGCCCUCUCCUCCCUUCACCUCGCUCCCCGCCCCGCGGGGCGCCCGCCUCCGCCCCCGCCGCGGCGGGAGGCUCUCGGCCGGGGCGGUGGGCGCGGGGGGAGCGCUGAGGCUGGAAAGGUGAGUGCUCGGAUUGUUGGAGCGCCGGUCUCAUGGUCUCGAUCCGCGCCUACUGAGAUGAAGCUGCCAUUUGUGAGCUGGUGAGCUGUGAGUGACGAGCGUAGGAAAAGAGAAGAACAAGAUGUCCAAUAUUGUGCUGAAUGAAAACUGCUGUGAACUUUACAAGAACUGAAAAAAAAAAAAAAUCACCUAAUCAAUGGUUUCAGUAAUUUAUGACAAAAUUAUGAGAAAGAAAUGGAAACCAGCCUAUAGAAGAGAGACAGAGGAACAAGAGGACCAACUGUCUGAUGACUUCAAAUUCUGACCAGAGAAGACUCUUUAAGUGCAUAGCUCAGAGGAGCAGGACUUGGGAGGUCUGACCUGUAGAGGCGUUCCUGUCAUCAGUCUGUCCAGUUACCUUGAUAGUAUCAUCUGAUCCUGAGUGUCACGGCCCAGGAGGAGCUAAAUCUCCACAGGUCUCUUAACAACACACCAAGAGCUGCAAUCUUGACUGACUUAAUACAUUUAAAUUUCUCUUAUGGAGAACUGGAUUUGAAGUACUUGGGAUUAUAAUCGAAAUGAAUUUGAUGGUUCAGCUCAGCCUCUAAUGGAUUACAGUAUGAAUGUCAUCAACUUCAUAUAUACAGUUAAAAGUGUGAUCUUGUUCCAAAUUUAGAGGUUUGGAAUGGAACAGAGUGGCUGAAGUCCAUCUUCUGAUCCCAGAAAGAAUGCAGAGAGGGAAUUAAUGUCAGUCUUCAUUUAGAAGAGUUUAUUUGCUGAACACCUGCUUUCCUGACAUGGGAAGACAUCAAGUGAAAUCUGAAGAAACAUUUAAAAAUAUCAAAUUAGCCACAAGUUAUGAAUCAUGAUUUAUAAUGAAAUGGAAUGAAAUGUUAAUAUGCAAAGCCUUAGAAAAAAUGUUUCGGCUGUUAAUUGUCUUUCUCUAUUUUCAGAUGCUUUAGGUACCCUGUACCUGUAAAUAGAAUUGUGUGAAGUAUGGGUGAAACUGCAACUGAAAAAAUAAAACAAAAUGUUGAGACAAUAACGCAUACCUUCUUUAAGAAGAAGAUUUACUUUAGCAGCAUCUGUGUUUUUCCUUUGUAACAUGUCUUCACUAUCGACAUCAGUGCUGAGUUUGGAGCUGCAAAUUGAGGAACUGGGAACUCUGAUCUUGUGGAAGGUCCACAUGAAGAUAAAUGAGGAGGAUAUUCUUAUUUAUGCUCACCUAUUCACCCUUGAAAAGAGAGGCUUCUAUCCAUAAUUUAAUAUGUAUGAAACAUUAAACUAAUUACAGAGCCCAUACCAGAAAAAAGGUUCAGUCACCUGUUGGGAAAGUGAUAAACAGUGGUUCUGCUCACAUGAACAACAGCUGAUCUGUGGCUGAAGAUGUGUUGAGUGCCUUGGCAAUCAAGGGGACAGAGCUGGACACCAACUGUGAAUGCUCUAACAAAAUCCAUAGACAUUUGUUUCAUAGGAGUUGGAACUUAUCACUGUAGAAAAUGUCAUCACAGAUCUAAUUAACACUGGCCAAUAUCUUACUUAAUAACAGUGCUAACCUAUAUCACUAUUUUCAUAUUCAUCAGUGCUCCUAAUGCAUCAUUCUUUGGCAUCAAAAAGUUUAGGUCAAAAGCCAGAAUCAAAGAUUUCUAGUGUCACAGUGGAUAACAUAACCUUUUCUGUAUUUUACAAAGUCAGAGAAAAUUCUCUGUCAAAUGUAAUUUGCUCCAGUCAACCUCAUUAUGUGGUCAAAAGGUGGAAAUAUAAGGCAGAGACAAGGCUGGAAAAUUCUGACAGUGAACAGAGGCUAGAGAACUGAUGUUUACACUGUUCUGUCCAAAGGCUCAUAAGUUAGAAGCUCAUCUUCCACUGCAGUCUGGCUUUGCUAUACUUUUUUUGUUAUUGUUGCUAUGCUCUUAUACUGCCAACAAAGCAGAUUGUUUAUGAACUGUCUGCCUGAGUACACAGCUUAUACACUUGCACUACUGUUGGGAUUUUCAUUCUGUGCAUAGCUGGAAAUAACUGCUGGACAAUUUUCACAGCCACAUUUCUCUAGUUAUUGCAUCUGAUGUGUGACUCAGACUUCACCAUUUAUACACAACUUUAUUUUGAUAUGUUGCUGAAAUUCUCAUAUUUCAGUGGACAAGCAUAAGAAUUGAAGGAUUUCUUCCCACAGAAGACCAAUUAUCCCAGCCUUGAACUUGAGUUUAAAUAGAGUCACAAUAAUUCUUAAGCAAGCUUCAAGAUGAUGUUAUUGUUUUAAGCUUAAGUAAAUUUUUGUUAGGUUUCAAGUAGCUUCUAGCUAUUUCUCUCCAAGGAGCAGAGAACUCUUACUGACUUUAGAAUUCUUGACUUAGGACAUAUAUUAAUAUUUGAUUUAAUUUUAAGAGAUACUGAAUAAAAGGUGUAAAUGUCAUGUAGAUUUCAGGGUAUAUUACUUAUACAAUCAAUCUCUAUUGAAAUUGAUUACAUAAUCAAUGAACCAUUAUGAAGUUCUUGGUAAUGGAAGAUUGCAGCCACAGCUUUGUACUCAGACAUCCCGGGCCAAACAGGUACAUUGUAGAUAACCCAUUUUGCCUCUGUUUACUGUCUGAAACAUCCGAUGUGCUAAAAUAUUGGAUUGGCUUGAGAAGAAAAAAAAUAUAUAUAUGUAUAAUCUUCAGCACUUUCAGCAUUCCUAGAUCUGAUAAUGAACACAGUGGCCUUAGAAAUCCUGAUAAUCCUUAUGAUUAAUUACAUACAACAUCAGUUUUUAGUGAUGUUUUCCAUCUAGUCAUUUAUUGCUCGAGUUUUUAAUUAUUUGUACUAAUAUAAACAUAAGAAUAAACUUAAAUUUGAUCAAGUACAGCUAAAUCCGUUUAUUUCUUCCACUGAGCUGCUAGAUGGACAUAACAUGUUGUGGGUAGAUUGGCAUACUGACAGCUGCACUGCUUCCCAAGAAGAGAGGGAGAGUGUACUGUCUUCACUUGUUUCAGAAGAAAUGGAAAAUCUUUUAGAAGAUAAUGAUGAACUAUAAUGAUAGGUAAGAAAGUAUGAUGCAAAUUAUCAAGCCGACUUUCAGUUCAGGCUGCUUUGUAGACUUCAUCAACACAACCAGCACAAAAAGGGCAGAUAAAAGGUGAACACAGAUUCUCAGUGCUACCCUUUAUUUUGGAAAAAUCUAUAGCCACCAUCUCAGAAAGAUGAUUUUUGUGCAUGAGGACCACUGACUCAUUUAAAGAGCUGAUACACAGAACGAAUUACAGACUUUGUAUACAAGGAGAGGCAUUUGGGUUGAUUUGAUUUAUACUCCUGGGGGAACUGGGUUUGUUCUGUGAAGAACUGAGAAUGCCCACAUGCCAAAGGCACACAGUGAUUUAUAGAGCCUCUGCAUUCUUGAUCUGAAUCCUUAAUAUUAUGCCAAUCUAGAGAAGAGUAGCUGGUCUGCAUUUUGCCUGGAAAACAUAUGUGAGGAGGCAGCAAAGCUGCUCCACAGAAUGAUGCUAAUGAGAUUGCUGCAGGUAGAUGGUGUGAGAGGAGAAGAUUCAUUUGAUAGAGACAGCUGUUUUUGACCCCAGUCACAAAUAUCAGCUUCCAACUGUUGUAAAUUUAGCCAUCUAUAGCAUACUGCUGCAUAUAAAGCACCUCUGAUAAAAGGACUGGUGGUUUGCCACAAAAACAAACAAACAAACAAACAAACAAACAAAUCUGUAACCUAUCCUUCUGCCCUUCCCAGUGGUAAUUCUGUGUUUAAGUCCUACUUGGACCCUGAUGAGGCCAGUCUGUUCCAUAGAGACUGGUCAGUUCUUGCUGCAGGACAAAGGUGGGAUUGCCAUACUCCUUCCUGCCCUCCUCAGACCCAGACAUGUAAGAUUUUUCUAGUUUUUCAUAUGAACUCUGAACCAGAUUAUAUUUCUGUUAAUAAAAAAAAAAAAAAAAAAAAAAAAAAAUUAUUUUCUUUCCUUAGGCUUUGCCUGACCCCAGUCUUCAAAGGUGGGAGGUUAUAUCACAGAUUUUGGAAAAAAGGAAUAUCAUUACAGGGUGUCCUCUUACCACCUACCUUCCUCAAUUCACUGGUAUUUUCUUUGCAUAUUACUUUCUAAGUGCUGUCUUUUAUUUGGCUUUUGCUGAACUAAUAUCUGACUAAUUCAGUGAUCUUUAGAGUUAAACUAUCAAAACAGUUAAAAUAGUUAAAUCAAAAUUUACCAGCCUAUUCAAAUUUACUUGGUACAUUAGCUAUCUAAAGAUUUCAUAUUGCAUACACACUUAGCUUCUAACUCAAGAAAGUCAUUUGAACAUCAAAGAAAUGCUGAAUUGUUUAUUGAUUUCUUAAUUAUUCGGUGCUUGAGGUUAUUUCUUCAUGUUCCACUAUGUUGUUGUGGGGAUUUUUUCCACUUGAAAGUUUAAUAAACCAAAAUUUUAAAAACGAAGCAAUAUUUAGCCAUAGUAAGGGCAAGACUGUGAUCCUGAAAUCUUGUUUUUCAAAUAUUUUAUCUGUUAAAUCCUCAUUGAGGGAAUAUUUCCUCAUUCAGGUAGUUAGCUUUAAUUUUACAAAUUUGCAUAAUGUGUGUGUAUGUAAAUACAUACAUAUACUCAUCUAUGCAUGUGUACCAGGACUCAAUUCUAUGGUAGAGAAGCAGAGCAAAAGCAGUUGUGAGGUAAACCUUGCAGUUUUACUUUUGUGAAUCAAAAGUGUCUGAUCUUGUUCAAUACUUUUUAUGGAGCAACAUGCAUAAGCAGUGACAGGUAUCAAAGAAGAGAGGAUGCCUUUUCCAAAGUGUUUUCCAGACCAAGUACAACUUUCCUGGACUGUCUUUUAUUUCUUAUAGUACUAAUGAACUAAUCUUACUGAACCACCUUUUGUGGAACCACUGAACAACUGUAGUAUUAUCUUUAAAAUGCUCACUUCAAUUAUGAAUGUCCAUUUACUUAUGUAAGCAGAAAUACUACUAUUUUAAAAAUUAUUUUAUUUUGCGUUCAUUUAAAUUAGUGGAAUUCCAGUGAUGCAGUUUCAAAAAUGUAAGAAAUGUAAUAUUGAACAUCUACCACAUUGUGUUAUUAGCACAACUAAUGGAAUAAUUUAAACCAGUUAAUUGAUUUGUCAAUUUUUCUUCUAUUUUUUUUUCUUUUCCCUUUUUCAUUAUGUUAGAUAAAGCUGGUCACAUAAGAGUCAGCAAAUUAUAUAAUUGAAUUUAACUAUGUAUAGUUGAAUGAUGAUGAUGUUGUUUUCAUUUGAGCCACUAAUUAUGGCUUGCCCAGUUGUUUCACAUUCUAAUUAACAUCAUACUUCAAAAUAAACAAACAAACAAAAUGUGUUAAUUUCACAUACAGUCACUACUUAAAAUAAUCUUUGCCUAUUGUGGUAAAUAAGAUAAAUCAAAGCGCAUCUUUAACUGUCAGUGUCCAAAAUGGAGUGAUACUGUAGAACAGUAUUUUCCUGUUAUUUGACUUAAUUUGAUUUAGACAACUCCAUAGUGUUAAAUAAUUUGCUGAAUAAUGAUUCUUAUGGAAGUAAGAAAUCAUUUGCAUUAGCUUGAUCCAAGUAUCAUUGCCAAAAGCAAACCUGUUCCACAACGUCCCCCCUAUUCCAUUUCUUGGUUCCUUAGAGAACAGUACUCUACAAUUACACUCUACUGCCAAAUUAUGUACAAGAGUAGUUUUGUGAUAUAGACAAAUGCCAACUAAGGACUAAUUUGAGACCAUUAAGCUAAUUUCACUUAUGACCCAAACCAGAUUUAAACCUAGGCCCUGUGAAGGUGACAGGCGAGUAUAUUAACUUAUGGUACUACGAAACUUGCUCUAGGGCAGGAAGAUUUCAAUAACAUUAGAAAAAAAAUCUCUUAAAAUUGAAAUAUGAAUAAUUCACAAAACAAGAAACCUCAACUAAUAGUCUCUGUUCAUAUUCAAUACUACUGUGACCUGCAGGCUAUAUUACAGAAAUGUGUUUUAUCUCACGUUACUUUUGCAGCAAACUGUGUGGCAUAUUCCUCCUUUUAAAGAAGGCCUCAGUAUAAUUUUUCCACAUUUUUUAUGCACAGAAAAACCCAUACUUUUUAAAUGAUUGUGCCUUACUAUUAGUCAUCAGAGAUUGAGUCUUGCAAAGCUCUCUGGAUGAAAUUUUCUGGGAGACGAGUCCACUAGUCUGACCUUAUGUGUCAUUUAUACACAAAAGGUGUUGUGUUAAAGCAGACAUUAAACUAAUGCAUUAUGAUGUCCAGCUCUUUAAUACUCCAAAUUUAGAAAUCUGGUUUAAGACCUGGAAUUCAAGGGUAGUUAGGCACCUAAAUUUCACAAGCCCUGUACAGCUUAGCUUAUACAGUGCUUUUACAGUUAAUAACCUGUUAAGUGGUAGAGCAUACUGGUCUACAUGAAUGUAUGUGUCUCUUUCAGGGCAGCAAGUGAGUAUUACCAUCAAAAGGUUUUACAGUCUGAAGCAGCUUUCUCUACUAAAUCUUAGAAAAGCAUGAUGGCAUUUGUACCUUCAAUCGUUUCUCUGUUUUUUAAAUUAAUUGUCAAUUAUGAAAAUGUAAAUAAUAUUCUGCGUUAGUAUUUUGAUCCAGAUCAGGAAAGUUUUAAAAUUUUCCUACUUGCCGCACAUUGGGAUGUAUUGUGCAGUGUUAUAAAGCUCAUGAACUGGAUUAAUUUUGGGAUUAAACUGGACUGGAAGAUGGGCUACUGGAGAGUAGCUCCUGAAUAUCUGGUCCAUGCCACUAGACUAGAUCUCACCUUGUGUAAAGUCCAUUGAAUUUUUUAUCAUUUUUGCAACUCUUUUGCUCCAAAGAUCCGGUUCUAUUGGCCCACACUGCUCAGAAACAUAGGCACAACCAGAUAUAGAAGAAACCUCAGGUCUCUGCUCUCAGCUAAGUAUGUAAAAAUUGAGCUAUAGAGCCAGGAUUGCUUUUGCUGGCUGGACUUGUGGUUUGAUGAUCCUAUUUACUUGACUGACUAGUGUUUCAGAUUCAGGAAGGAACUGGGAAUUCAAAAAGUCUUGGGAAGUCUUUUACUCAAAGUGUUUUAUAAGCUGUCAUCUGAAUGCUGUGUUGGAAAGUCAUAAAUUAAAAUUGCUGUGUCAGAACUGGACAUAAUGUGUUGGGUUUUUACCUCAUAAGUAAGGGCCUCCACCAUAUAUUACACAGUGCAAAUACCCUGCUACUAUGAUCUCUUCAUUUCCAAACAGUUAAGGAGCUUUUGCUUGAACCAUGGAGUCUAGACAAGAUUUUUCUGAACUUUUCUUACUAAAAUGUGUGCAUAUGCUUGAGUAGCAAGAGCUCUGAGUCCUAUGACUUAUAUUACAUGUAACUGAAUCAACAUUAAAUUUUCUUGAUUAACUCAGUCUUAGCUAACACUAUUCAAUUUU
Molecule: long non-coding RNA, 7935 nt
Organism: Columba livia (rock pigeon)
Lineage: Eukaryota; Metazoa; Chordata; Aves; Columbiformes; Columbidae
Exons: 8
Source: RefSeq, a predicted model, not a curated record